RNAcentral lists this long non-coding RNA (203 nucleotides) under Setaria italica (foxtail millet). RNAcentral describes it as "long non-coding RNA (SITA_LNC004342)". Lineage: Eukaryota; Viridiplantae; Streptophyta; Magnoliopsida; Poales; Poaceae. The record is from RNAcentral.
UCACAUCUUGAUGGUCGGCCCUUGCUGACAUGUGGGGCCGCGCUGCCUUGGCUGGGAAGUGGGCCCCCCUGAGCCAGCGACUGUAAAUAGGAUCUGUCGCAUGCCGUUUCAGAGAUCACUAGCAGCAGAUGCUGUCAAAAGAGGCGCCUUCGAAGAGUCCGCGUCUACAGUGCGCGUGGCCGGAAACAGUCAGAGGCCCCUCC